UGGGGAAUUUUGGACAAUGGGCGCAAGCCUGAUGCAGCCAUGCCGCGUGUGUGAAGAAGGCCUUCGGGUUGUAAAGCACUUUCAGCGAGGAGGAAGGUGGUGAACUUAAUACGUUCAUCAAUUGACGUUACUCGCAGAAGAAGCACCGGCUAACUCCGUGCCAGCAGCCGCGGUAAUACGGAGAGUGCAAGCGUUAAUCGGAAUUACUGGGCGUAAAGCGCACGCAGGCGGUUUGUUAAGUCAGAUGUGAAAUCCCCGGGCUCAACCUGGGAACUGCAUUUGAAACUGGCAAGCUAGAGUCUCGUAGAGGGGGGUAGAAUUCCAGGUGUAGCGGUGAAAUGCGUAGAGAUCUGGAGGAAUACCGGUGGCGAAGGCGGCCCCCUGGACGAAGACUGACGCUCAGGUGCGAAAGCGUGGGGAGCAAACAGGAUUAGAUACCCCUGGUAGGUCCACGCUGUAAAACGAUGUCGAUUUUGGAGGUUGUGCCCUUGAGGCGUGGNUUCCGGAGCUAACGNGUUAAAUCGACCGCCUGGGGAGUACGGCC
RNAcentral lists this ribosomal RNA (544 nucleotides) under uncultured bacterium. RNAcentral describes it as "partial 16S ribosomal RNA". It matches the Rfam family "Bacterial small subunit ribosomal RNA", at positions 355 to 887 of the family's 1533-position model. The record is from RNAcentral.